UCACAGAUGAAUGUGCUGGGUAGGUUCAGC
This 30-nucleotide non-coding RNA is filed under the name Macaca fascicularis (crab-eating macaque). The record is from RNAcentral. RNAcentral also lists the same sequence under 1 other name. Lineage: Eukaryota; Metazoa; Chordata; Mammalia; Primates; Cercopithecidae.